GGUAGUCCUGAUGCGACAAAGCAAAUAGUAAGAUCUUCUUUCUUUUUCGUUAUAACAAAUCUCGAAGCGUAUAUAUUCUGCUUUGCUGGAGAAUGUCUGAAAAACAAGAGCAAAGAAAUUGGUUUUGCGGCGUACAACUCUGCAUGGUAUGACAUGAAAACUAAAGAUAGUCGUGUCCUGUUAUUUAUCAUGUUAAGAUCGCAAAAACAAUUGACACUUACAGCUGGGAAGAUGAUGGAUUUAUCCUUGCAAUCUUUUACAAGUAUCAUAAAUGCUUCGGGAUCAUUUCUGUCGAUGCUAUUGGCGAUGCGAUAAAUACUAGAUGAUCGAUUAUUUAACAACAGUAAAAAAUUAUGAAUUAUACAUAUAUCAGUAGUUCUAGAAAUUCAUGUUGUAAUACAGUAUAUUUCUCCAAAUAUAAAUAUUAAACAAUAA
Long non-coding RNA from Temnothorax curvispinosus, 435 nucleotides. RefSeq lists it as uncharacterized. Lineage: Eukaryota; Metazoa; Arthropoda; Insecta; Hymenoptera; Formicidae. The record is from RefSeq and is a predicted model, not a curated record. The transcript has 3 exons.